This 894-nucleotide long non-coding RNA is filed under the name Arabidopsis lyrata. RNAcentral's name for it is "long non-coding RNA (ALYR_LNC003008)". The record is from RNAcentral. Lineage: Eukaryota; Viridiplantae; Streptophyta; Magnoliopsida; Brassicales; Brassicaceae.
GAGUCCAUCUUUUUUGACUCUCCCUUAUUAAAACUCUUUCCCUUCUCUCUACAACAAACUCGCCGCUGGUUUUGUCUCUCCGAUCGGCGCGUGUGGGCCACCAUAGCCACGGCGUCGGUUGGCUUUUCAGCUUUUGUUUAGUUAACUAGUUCUGGGUUCGUGUGUGGAGAGAUCUGUGGAUUGGUUUCGUUUUUCAUUUCCUUCUCAGAUUUCUCUCUUUUCAGAUCUAGGGUUUGGUUGCUUGGUUUUUAUUACAGGUUCUUAUUUCUUAUUUGCCUGAGUUAUCCCUGGCCCUAACCGCAAUGGCUCUAUGCCACCCACUGUCGUUGUGGUGGUGAUUCGGUUUGGGCGACCUAAUUUUCAGGUUUUCUCACACAGCUUCAACAAACGGAUCUAGGGCGAGAUCCGCCUAGGUUUCGGUCCUUAUACCGGUUCACGUCCAAUAGUUGACAUUCUCGGCCCGGCGAUUCCGACGGUCUUUGCAAGUUUGGCCAAGGUUCCACCGUCCCGCCAUCCAAGAUAUUCCAAGGUUUUUCUUCUGAAGACUCUUAAUUAACAAGUGAGGCAUGUAUAUCGGAGACUUUCUGGGUGGUGGCCAGCUCCUUCGUCGACUUCCUGCUAGUUUUGCGAUUUCGGUUGGCUCGGACAAUAAGGAAUUUGUAUCUUUGUGUUGAAUCAUUUCAAUCAUGUUUAGAUCUUUUUAGUUUUAGUUUUUCUCUUUUGUUUGUCUCCCGUGUUUGGGGCUCAGUUUCUGGGGGUUAGAAUCCCGCCGGACUUUGUAUUCCGACAACGUAUUUCAUCUGUGAUAUAUAAUAUUUCAGACGAAAAAAAAAAAAAAAAAAAAACAAGCAAACUGUUAUAGAACUUGUUGUUCUUAUUAGUAUUAAUGAAUGG